RNAcentral lists this non-coding RNA (84 nucleotides) under Pseudomonas citronellolis. The record is from RNAcentral. Lineage: Bacteria; Pseudomonadati; Pseudomonadota; Gammaproteobacteria; Pseudomonadales; Pseudomonadaceae.
UGUUAUGGGCGGGCCGUGCGGGGCAUCUUCGGAUGCGCCGGAACUCUAGGCCGGUACGCCAACCUGUACGGUCCGCCCUCCCUG